GGAUUCCCCUAGUAACGGCGAGUGAAGAGGGAAGAGCCCAGCACCGAAGCCUGCGGUAGCUUUACUGUUAGGCAAUGUGGUGUUUGGGUCGGCUCGCGGGAUUGCCACUCCACUCGAAGUCCAGCAUUGAGUAUGGUACACUGGAUUUGGCCCAGAGAGGGUGAAAGGCCCGUACGGGUGGAGGUUUCAGACAAGUGAGGCAAUUCACUAGGCCGGCCUUAGAGUCGGGUUGUUUGGGAAUGCAGCCCAAAGUGGGUGGUAAACUCCAUCCAAGGCUAAAUACUAGCACGAGUCCGAUAGCAAACAAGUACCGUGAGGGAAAGUUGAAAAGUACUUUGAAGAGAGAGUAAACAGUACGUGAAACCGCAUGCAGGUAAACGGGUGGCGUCAAGCUGUACGCCCGGAGGAUUCAGCCGGCUAGAGUGUAGUCAUGCGCCUGCGCAUCGAAAGGCCAGUAUAAGAAUGGGUAGUCCACUGGUAGACAGUGGGCCCUGCCGCAAGGUGGGGAUGUGUGUACCGGGUGGAAGCCGGAGCACGCUAUCCGUCUGUUGGGCCGUCUAGCCGGUGCACUUUCUCCGUGGUGGACACCACGACCGGUGGUACCUCCAGUCUGCUAUGGCCAAGUCGUAUCCGGUUGGUCCUUGUGGCCUACCGGGUGCGAUCUCAGGCAAACUCGGUGAACGGCGUAGAUGUGCCCCCGCGGGUGCGUCUGCGUGUUAUCGGUAACCGGUUGCCGUGCCGUACCCCCCCGCUAGUUGGGUUAGCCGCUGCGGGGGGACCGGUGGGCCGUAGUGGUAUGAAUAACUGUGUUGGGCACCGGAGUUCUCGGCCUCAAAGCAUCCGGCAUCUAUGCUAAUUCAUAGUUAGCUUGGGUGCAGUCGUGCAGACUGCUUGAUGGCGGGUCUGAGUGUCGUGUUGCCCACGAAAAGUGGGUUCGGCAUUGGCUCGCCACAUGACGGGACUGCAUAGACUGCCCCCAGUGCUGGGUGUAGUAGGCCUCAUAGUCUGUGGUGUAGUGGUAGACGAGCUACCCGACCCGUCUUGAAACACGGACCAAGGAGUUUAACACGUGUGCAAGUCACUGGGUCCUACGAAACCCAAAGGCGCAAUGAAAGUAAAGCUUCGGAUCAUUCGUGGUUCGGAGUGAGGUGAGAUCCCGCCGUGACUCCGCCAGCCUAUUCAGUCAGAAGCAGGCAUACCGCGCGGUGGGCGCAUCACCGGCCCGUCCCAUGAUGUGGUCAUUGGAACAGGCUGCGGUCGGCCUCGGUCGGCUGUAGUACUCCCAGUGCGUCAUCGGGGCGGAGCAUGAGCAUACGUGUUGAGACCCGAAAGAUGGUGAACUAUGCUUGCGUAGGUUGAAGCCAGAGGAAACUCUGGUGGAGGACCGCAGCGAUUCUGACGUGCAAAUCGAUCGUCAAACGUGAGUAUAGGGGCGAAAGACUAAUC
RNAcentral lists this ribosomal RNA (1446 nucleotides) under Rhinebothrium kruppi. RNAcentral describes it as "partial large subunit ribosomal RNA". It matches the Rfam family "Eukaryotic large subunit ribosomal RNA", at positions 72 to 936 of the family's 3401-position model. Lineage: Eukaryota; Metazoa; Platyhelminthes; Cestoda; Rhinebothriidea; Rhinebothriidae. The record is from RNAcentral.